RNAcentral lists this ribosomal RNA (400 nucleotides) under uncultured bacterium. RNAcentral describes it as "bacterial SSU rRNA". It matches the Rfam family "Bacterial small subunit ribosomal RNA", at positions 29 to 419 of the family's 1533-position model. The record is from RNAcentral.
AUUGAACGCUGGCGGCAUGCCUUACACAUGCAAGUCGAACGGCAGCACGGGAGCAAUCCUGGUGGCGAGUGGCGAACGGGUGAGUAAUGUAUCGGAACGUGCCCAGUCGUGGGGGAGUAACGCAGCGAAAGACUGUGCUAAUACCGCAUACGAUCUAUGGAUGAAAGACGGGGGAGUCGCAAGACCUCGCGCGAUUGGAGCGGCCGAUAUCAGAUUAGCUAGUUGGUGGGGUAAAGGGACUCACCAAGGCGACGAUCUGUAGCUGGUCUGAGAGGACGACCAGCCACACUGGAACUGAGACACGGUCCAGACUCCUACGGGAGGGCAGCAGUGGGGGAAGUUUUGGUACAAAUGGGCGCAAGCCUGAUCCAGCAAUGCCGCGUGCAGGAUGAAGGCCUUC